CAGUAGCCGCGGUAAUACGUAGGGUGCAAGCGUUAAUCGGAAUUACUGGGCGUAAAGCGUGCGCAGGCGGUUAUAUAAGACAGAUGUGAAAUCCCCGGGCUCAACCUGGGAACUGCAUUUGUGACUGUAUAGCUAGAGUACGGCAGAGGGGGAUGGAAUUCCGCGUGUAGCAGUGAAAUGCGUAGAUAUGCGGAGGAACACCGAUGGCGAAGGCAAUCCCCUGGGCCUGUACUGACGCUCAUGCACGAAAGCGUGGGAAGCAAACAGGAUUAGAUACCCCUGUAGUCCCUGUCUCUUAUAC
This 301-nucleotide ribosomal RNA is filed under the name uncultured bacterium. RNAcentral's name for it is "partial 16S ribosomal RNA". It matches the Rfam family "Bacterial small subunit ribosomal RNA", at positions 509 to 807 of the family's 1533-position model. The record is from RNAcentral.